GUUGAGAGGAAUGUUGUCUGGCUCGAGGUCAUGGAGGAGGAGGAGAGUACUGAGAUGAGUGAAAGUUUCCAAUGGAAAUUUACCCUCUUAACACAAAAAAAAAAUUGAUUCUCGGACCAGGCUUCAUUCCCCACACC
RNAcentral lists this microRNA precursor (137 nucleotides) under Glycine soja. RNAcentral's name for it is "mir-166 microRNA precursor family". It matches the Rfam family "mir-166 microRNA precursor family". Rfam says of the family: This family represents the plant microRNA (miRNA) precursor mir-166. Animal miRNAs are transcribed as ~70nt precursors and subsequently processed by the Dicer enzyme to give a ~22nt product. Lineage: Eukaryota; Viridiplantae; Streptophyta; Magnoliopsida; Fabales; Fabaceae. The record is from Rfam by way of RNAcentral.